GCCAUGGUGUUAUUUAACACCAUAUAACACUAUAAUGAUAUAGUAUU
Cricetulus griseus (Chinese hamster) is the source of this 47-nucleotide non-coding RNA. NCBI's taxonomy places the organism in Eukaryota, Metazoa, Chordata, Mammalia, Rodentia, Cricetidae. The record is from Rfam.